This 253-nucleotide ribosomal RNA is filed under the name uncultured bacterium. RNAcentral describes it as "partial 16S ribosomal RNA". It matches the Rfam family "Bacterial small subunit ribosomal RNA", at positions 524 to 776 of the family's 1533-position model. The record is from RNAcentral.
UACGUAGGGACCGAGCGUUGUCCGGAAUCAUUGGGCGUAAAGAGCGUGUAGGCGGCCAGGUAGGUCGGUUGUGAAAACUGGAGGCUCAACCUUCAGAGGUCGACCGAAACCAUCUGGCUAGAGUCCGGGAGAGGAGAGUGGAAUUCCUGGUGUAGCGGUGAAAUGCGCAGAUAUCAGGAAGAACACCCGUGGCGAAAGCGGCUCUCUGGAACGGUACUGACGCUGAGACGCGAAAGCGUGGGGAGCGAACAGG